This 74-nucleotide transfer RNA is filed under the name Glaucomys volans (southern flying squirrel). RNAcentral's name for it is "tRNA-Gln". It matches the Rfam family "tRNA". From Rfam's summary of the family: Transfer RNA (tRNA) molecules are approximately 80 nucleotides in length. The record is from RNAcentral. Lineage: Eukaryota; Metazoa; Chordata; Mammalia; Rodentia; Sciuridae.
UAGGACAUGGUGUAAAUAGGGUAGCACGAAGAAUUUUGAAUUCUUAAGUUUAGGUUCGAUUCCUAUUGUUCUAG